CAGCAGCCGCGGGAAUACGGAGGGGGCUAGCGUUGUUCGGAAUUACUGGGCGUAAAGCGCACGUAGGCGGCUUGGUAAGUUAGAGGUGAAAGCCCAGGGCUCAACCCUGGAAUUGCCUUUAAGACUGCCGAGCUAGUAGGUGAGAGAGGUGAGUGGAAUUCCGAGUGUAGAGGUGAAAUUCGUAGAUAUUGGGAGGAACACCGGCGGCGAAGGCGGCUUACUGGACGACAACUGACGUUGAGGCUCGAAGGCGUGGGUAGCAGACAGGAUUAGAUACCCGAGUAGUCCCUGUCUCUUAUAC
Molecule: ribosomal RNA, 301 nt
Filed under: uncultured bacterium
Lineage: Bacteria
Description: partial 16S ribosomal RNA
Rfam family: Bacterial small subunit ribosomal RNA
Source: RNAcentral